GUGGUGAUUUUUUUUUUUGACAUGAAAAUUAUAUGGGGAUUAUGCUGUUUGUUUUCAAAAUAUCAAACUUAGGAUUGAGAAUUCAUUUAUAGAUAUGUAGUUGUUUUUGAGUGUUGCCCAGAUAGACAACUCUAGAUGAGGGAUGAAUUGAAUUUUUUGAAAAUUAAAUCAAUUAUAUGCUAAAUUUAGAUUGUACAAAGUGAAGAUGCAGUGGAAGCAGUGAAUUAUGACUAAUAUAUAGGGAUGCAAAUGAAAGCAAUAGGAAAGUA
RNAcentral lists this long non-coding RNA (269 nucleotides) under Elaeis guineensis (African oil palm). RNAcentral describes it as "long non-coding RNA (EGUI_LNC066651)". The record is from RNAcentral. Lineage: Eukaryota; Viridiplantae; Streptophyta; Magnoliopsida; Arecales; Arecaceae.